Molecule: ribosomal RNA, 253 nt
Filed under: uncultured bacterium
Lineage: Bacteria
Description: partial 16S ribosomal RNA
Rfam family: Bacterial small subunit ribosomal RNA
Source: RNAcentral
GACGUAGGGGGCCAGCGUUGUUCGGAAUUACUGGGUGUAAAGGGUUCGUAGGCGGUGCGGCAAGUCGGGAGUGAAAUCUCUGGGCUUAACCCAGAGGCUGCUUCCGAAACUGCUGUGCUUGAGUGUGGGAGAGGCGCGUGGAAUUGCAGGUGUAGCGGUGAAAUGCGUAGAUAUCUGCAGGAACACCGGUGGCGAAGGCGGCUUCCUGGACAAUUACUGACGCUGAGACGCGAAAGCGUGGGGAGCAAACAGG